RNAcentral lists this ribosomal RNA (459 nucleotides) under uncultured bacterium. RNAcentral's name for it is "partial 16S ribosomal RNA". It matches the Rfam family "Bacterial small subunit ribosomal RNA", at positions 29 to 523 of the family's 1533-position model. The record is from RNAcentral.
AGCGAACGCUGGCGGCAGGCCUAACACAUGCAAGUCGAACGAGAAGCCACCUUCGGGUGGUGGACAGUGGCAGACGGGUGAGUAACGCGUGGGAACGUGCCUUUCGGUUCGGGAUAACCCAGGGAAACUUGCGCUAAUACCGGAUACGCCCUUCGGGGGAAAGAUUCAUUGCCGAAAGAUCGGCCCGGGUCGGCUUAGCUAGUUGGUGGGGUAAAAGCCUACCAAGGCGACGAUCCGUAGCUGGUCUAAGAGGAUGACCAGCCACACUGGGACUGCGACACGGCCCAGACUCCUACGGGAGGCAGCAGUGGGGAAUAUUGGACAAUGGGCGCAAGCCUGAUCCAGCCAUGCCGCGUGGGUGAAGAAGGCCUUAGGGUUGUAAACCCCUUUCAGCGGGGAAGAUAAUGACGGUACCCGCAGAAGAAGUCCCGGCUAACUCCGUGCCAGCCGCCGCCGUAA